Molecule: ribosomal RNA, 557 nt
Filed under: uncultured bacterium
Lineage: Bacteria
Description: bacterial SSU rRNA
Rfam family: Bacterial small subunit ribosomal RNA
Source: RNAcentral
UGGGCGAAAGCCUGAUCCAGCAAUGCCAUGUGUGUGAAGAAGGCUCUAGGGUUGUAAAGCACUUUAGUUGGGGAGGAAAGCUUAUGAGUUAAUAGCUCAUAGGAAGGACGUUACCCAAAGAAUAAGGACCGGCUAACUCCGUGCCAGCAGCCGCGGUAAUACGGGGGGUCCGAGCGUUAAUCGGAAUUACUGGGCGUAAGGGGUCUGUAGGUGGUUUGUUAAGUCAGAUGUGAAAGCCCAGGGCUCAACCUUGGAACUGCAUUUGAUACUGGCAAACUAGAGUAUAGUAGAGGAAUGGGGAAUUUCUGGUGUAGCGGUGAAAUGCGUAGAGAUCAGAAGGAACACCAAUGGCGAAGGCAACAUUCUGGACUAAUACUGACACUGAGGGACGAAAGCGUGGGGAUCAAACAGGAUUAGAUACCCUGGUAGUCCACGCUGUAAACGAUGAGUACUAGCUGUUGGAGUCGGUGUAAAGGCUCUAGUGGCGUAGCUAACGCGUUAAGUACUCCGCCUGGGGACUACGGCCGCAAGGCUAAAACUCAAAGGAAUUGACGGGG